Ailuropoda melanoleuca (giant panda) is the source of this 2238-nucleotide long non-coding RNA. RefSeq lists it as uncharacterized. The transcript has 4 exons. The record is from RefSeq and is a predicted model, not a curated record. Lineage: Eukaryota; Metazoa; Chordata; Mammalia; Carnivora; Ursidae.
UGAGUUCCAUUAUUCGGGACUAUGUAGCCACCGGCUGACCACAGACAAAUCCAGCAAGUAUCAGCCCAGCUGGCCCAGACCAGAAGAAUCACCCAGCUGACCCACAAAUUGGAUACGAUACUAUCUCUAUGACCCCUUGUGGCUGCGUCUCCCAGGCAUGGGAGCAAAAGUGGACCAGUCCUGAUUUUCUCUUCAUCAUACCUACAGGGAAUGGUCUGGCCUGCCGGUCACCGAUGACCAAGCUGAAAAUAACUCUUGCUUUCCGUCCGCCUGCUCUCCUUGAAGCCUCUUUCGUAAGCCAAAGCCUGGAGAGAGAGAGAACCUGAGCACACGGAAGGGGAGCAGCAAAAGGAGAGAGAGAAGCAGGCUCCCAGUCAAGCAGAGAGCCUGAUGUGGGGCUUGAUCCCAGGACCCUGGGAUCAUGAUCUGAGCUGAAGGCAGAUGCUUAACCCACUGAGCCCCUGUGGAGCCCCCCAGCACUACUCUUGUUGCCAUUUUACAGGUGAGGAAACUGAGGCUCGGAGGAUUUGUGUCUCUUGCCCAAGGUCAGGGCCAGGACUGGAAUCAAAAGCCCGGCUGCCACCGGGGCCCACACACCAGCUCGUGUGGGUCGUAGAACGUUUAUGAGAAUUCAGAGGUGUCCUUUCCUCUGGGAAGGCAUAGCCCACGCCAGGCACAGAGCUUGGCAAACAGCACAGCUGAACAUCAGCCCCUGGAUGCCCCGAGGCCAGACCCCUCUGUGUGGUGACAACCCACGCAGCCACAUAGCUGCCUCCUUGUCUGUUCCCUCUUCAUCCAAGGGCUGAUGGGUGGGCUCUUUGGGGGGAAGAUGGAAAAGGUGGUAAGAAACAGAUGUGGGGCUGCACCCAGCACAGCCUCCUUCUAAGCUCCGUGGGGGUUGCUGUCUCCAAAGACGACAAAGAGGAGGACCAGGAGGAGGGGGCCUCCUGUUGGGGUCGCCAGGUGAACCUACCAGCUUUCUAGGAAGGGCUAACUCAGUAUCACCUUUUCAAGCGGGCUUGGCGAACAUUUUCUGAAAAAGGCCAGAGAGGAAAUGUGUCCCACUUUGCCAGGCGUGUGGUGUCUGUUGCAGCUGCUCAGUGGCUCUGGUGGCCCUUGAACAGCUGUAGACAAGAUGUACACGGAUGGGCGUGCUCUGUCUCAAUAAAACUUUAUUUGUAAAAACCGGCAGUGGCCUCUGUUGGCCCCUGUCCUAGGGCAUUUUCCCUUCCCUUGCCUCCCCUGGGACACUGGCCAAGGAGACAGGGGCUCCCUGAUGAACUUUAAGGCAGAAUAGACCCUGCCCCAACCCUUCUCAUCAAGAGAGAACAGUUUUAAAGGGAGGCCGGGCUCAUCUGUUGAGCAGCGAGCCCUCAGAAUGGCAGCCAGAGGGGUCUGGCCUUGGGGCAUCAGUGUGGUAUGGACCACAACCAAGGCCUGCUGCUGACGUCAUCUAGUUAAAUCCUCGGGACACUCCUGCAUCCUAGUCCCCAGAGAUGGAGCCGUGAACAGCCUUGGUGCCCCAGCCUCCAUACCUGACACGGGGAGGGGGGCUGUGUGGGAGGCUCAUGCAUCGUCACAGAGUGAGGGCCGGUCUGACAGCAGUAAGCAGGCACACAAGUCCACCCUCCCCUACCCCUUUCCAAACUGAUGCUUUUAAAUCCAGGGUUGCAAACCCAGCGCCUAGAAGGGCUCGGGGGGAAGACAAGACUGAAGUCGGCUGCUAUAAAAUAAUCUGGAGUUAUGGGCAGCCUGCCCUUAAGACUCACCAGGCCAGAGCGCUUGUGCCAACAAAGCCCACACACCGUGUCCAAGUGUGCAAAAGCUAUAAACCAGCUAAUGAAGGGCUGAAUAAAAUCUAUGUUAUUCUUCGCUCUUGAUAACUAUGCCUUCACAACAACUAGAAGGAUUUGGAUAUAGAUUUCUUGGACUUUAUUAAGGUUAAUUUUAUGUGUUACUUUGACUAAGCUAUGGUGGCCUAGUUGUUUGGGCAAGCAGCAGUUUUGAUGUUGCUGUGAACCUUUUGUAGAUGUGCCUAACAUUCAAAUCGGUAGACUUUGAAUAAAGCAGAUUGCCCUCUAGACUGUGGGUGGGCCUCGUCUAAUCAGUUGAAGGCUACGAGGACAAGAACUCAGGUAGACUCUUCCCAGAAAAUGCUGAAAUCCUCCAGACUGCAGCCUAGAAACCUUGCCUGAGUGCCAGCCUGCUGCCCUGCGGAAUUUGGAGUUAAGAUUACAA